ACCUUAAGAACAAGAAAGGAUCACAUUUUAAUCUGUCUGUCAAAUGGGUUUCCAAUUUGGUAACAGGGUUGAGCAAACUUAUGUACUCAAGGGCCACCAGGAGGGGAUGGAAAUGAAGUUGAAAGUAAGUAAACUUGAUUGAAUAAGACGUGAAUCUUAAAUAAGAUAUAAAUACUUUAUUUGUUUGUGUAUCUUGUAUUUACUUGCAAUUGAAUUAACUGUGUUGCUCCUUGCCGUGCGCCCGCCACCAGGGGGCAGUAUAAUGCAGUCAUGCAGACACAAACGAAGAA
Molecule: long non-coding RNA, 290 nt
Organism: Syngnathus acus (greater pipefish)
Lineage: Eukaryota; Metazoa; Chordata; Actinopteri; Syngnathiformes; Syngnathidae
Exons: 2
Source: RefSeq, a predicted model, not a curated record